Molecule: small nuclear RNA, 163 nt
Filed under: Glossina morsitans morsitans
Lineage: Eukaryota; Metazoa; Arthropoda; Insecta; Diptera; Glossinidae
Description: U1 spliceosomal RNA
Rfam family: U1 spliceosomal RNA
About the family: U1 is a small nuclear RNA (snRNA) component of the spliceosome (involved in pre-mRNA splicing).
Source: RNAcentral
AUAUUUGAAUGGCGUAGGAGUUGCCGUGAACGAGAAGGCGGUUUCUUCGGCGUGAGGUUUGGUCAUUGCAAUGUAGCUUGAGCUGAUCUACGCAAUGAUUCUUAAUGUGAAUAACUCGCGCUUGUAAUUUUUGUCAAAAUAUUGCGAACAUUUGUGACUUGUA